GUGGGGAAGGAAUUUUAACACUGGGUCUUCCUGAAUGAGGGACCCUCACUUCUCAUAAGAGUCUGACUUUCAAGUUCUGCUCGUGUCCCAGGUCCUUGGUUUCUGUGGGAAGGAGGAUCUUUGGUCCCGAGGUCAUUUCAGCUCACAAUUUCUUCUUUUGUGCCUGCCCUGGCGACAUGACUUUGCAGAUUUUCUGAAAGGCUGUUCUUAAUCACUCUGUUGAUAAGAGAUGGGGUCGGUUGAACUGGUCCUGGAGGGCCCAUGAUUGGGUGCUAGCAAAGACUCAUUGCCUCUUUGGUUGGAAGGAAUCAAGAUGAGCAUUUCAUCCCAAUGGCUAAAGAACAAUGACUAUCCUCUUCGACAUCCUUGACAGAGAGCCAUCUGCCCGUGAUUGGGAAGGUUCCUUCAUAUCAACAAUCAGACAAGACUAUUCUGAGGAAGGAAGAGUAAACAUUAACCCCAGGAAACAGCAGGGUUCCAGGGCCGAGUGCGGGAAGUGCUGGCACGGGGAGCACCGAGGACUCGGCCAGGGCUGGGCGCCAGUCGACGGAUUCCCAAUAUUGUCUUCCAGUUGCUAGACUACGCUGCUUUCCAGUACAUUAUUUGGCAUGUAAAAACUCAAAUGUAAGUAAAGCAUUUUAAUACAAAUAAUUUCAACUGCAACAAGGCAAUUGGCUUCUGAUUAAGUUGGCAAGAAAAGGUAAUGAACUCAUUCCGAUUGACAUAUUUAGAGUUCGUCUUGCCAAAUCCAAUUGGCAGCUUCAUAAUUAUGGAAACGUCCAUGUUAUUUCCACUCAAUCAGGGUUAGGCCUGCUGGUAUCUGAUUCAAUGUUUACUUCAUGAAUGAGGUCAGUUCCCAGCACAGCUGGGGUUUUAACAAAGGAAUCAGAGCUGCUGAUCAGCAGACAGCAUUCCCACCAGAAUCUGACCGUAGUUGUCAGGGCUUCCAGGGCCACCUUCCCACAGAUCUCCCAGGUUCGCCGCUCUCUCUGGCACUUUCUGGGGCCUGGCUCUGCUCACUGCUCUGCGAACGCUUCCCUGCAGAAGCAGAGGGAGCCCGGGCUGCAGCCCGGGCAGGAUGAGCUCACGUCCCAAGUUUCCCACAGCACAGCAGUUCACUCUGCAACCUGCCCCCUCGGUAUUGCAACAUCUCGCCCCUUACGAGCUUCAGAACUGCCAGGAAACGGGGUAGGUUUUUUUAAAAAAAUUAUUUAUUCCAGGAUGGCUCCACUUGUGUGGUGUAAGAGUGACUCAGAGUGCCUUGGAAGCCACCUCCAAAGGUAACUAUGUCCCACAGGCCGGAAUGUCCUCUGCGCCAACUCCCCACAGUGGUAAAAACAAAAACAAAAGCUCACAAGGGCUCAAAACACUCACUUUAAGAACACGCGUCUGCGGAGUGGGGUUACCGGGAAAACUGCAGAGGGCAGAAAGGAAGGAGACGCUGCACAGCAGGGCCACGGCUCAGCUCCAAAUGAGUUAGUUUAGAAGCAGCAAGGGACUUAAACGUCAUUGGCCUGUGCUCCCGAGUCCUGAGCCGCUACAGUGGGACGGCCGUGGCCGUGAUAAAGCCUGAGGUCAAAGUCCGAAGGGGCUCUCUUCCCAGCUCUGGCAGCCAUCCUUUGUCUUAGUGCCAUAAGGUCAUAGGAAGCUUAGGGAUAGUGAUUUGGUUCAGAUCCCAAAAUAAUUGUGGGCAUCAUGUGCUGGUACAGUUUCACCUAAGAAAAUCUGUUGGGGAACAAAAUCUGGAGUAGGAGAUGGUUGAGGAACUGGAUGCAAAGGCAGGUUCUCUAAGGAAGCUUCCCCCUUCUCAGCACUGACGAGGCAGCAUGUGCACCGAGCUCUACACUCUCAUCUCCUAACGAACAGUGAGACCAACGGCCGCUGAUGUAGACGAACACAGAGGAGACGUAGUCCUGGAUGUAGAGAGGGAAGCUCUCCCUUCCGUUGACCUCAACAGAGGUGGUUUUAGGGUGAAGACUCCACUUUCUCUUCUCUAAAGAGUGGGUCCAGCUGCCACAGGAGACUUUAGAACAUCUGUCCCCACUUGGAGGUCAGCAUCCCCAUAGGGUCCAAAGAGCUGGCUCAAGUGCAAUUCACAGCCUUUCUCUUACCUGCUUCCCCAAGAGCACAACCUGUGUCAGCCCUCCGGUGUGAAGUCAUCUCCCUGUUCCUGCUACUUACCCAAACGCCAGUUACUUGCCGUCCAUUCUGUAGCCUCUUUUAUCCAACUUUGGCAUAGUCAUGUCAUCUUAUAAUCUAAAUGAUCUUUUCCCUGCAUAUGAAGUCUUUGAAGAUGGGACCCUAAACAGAGUUCAUCUUUUUGCCCUCGCUGGCCUCAUCACCGGUGCUCUCGGCCCAUUCAGCUACAGCCACGCUGGCCACCCUGCUGAUGCUUGAACGCCCCAGACACAUACCCCGCACAGAGACUUGGCACAUGCUGUUCCCUCUGCCUGCGACACUCUUUCCUGGGUCAUCCACGUGGCUCCCUCAGUCCCUUCCUUCAGACGUAGGAAAGCGGGGUCAUGCGAGAGGAAAGACAGAGCCUCCUAUGAUUGAGGAACGCAGGUGUACGCUCCGCUGGGGCCAACUCGUCCUGCCUGGAGGAAAUGCAUCUGAAAUGUUGUCACCCUCCCCUGGUUGUGAACAGAGCUGUUUAACUGUUGGGGUCGUGGGCGAGGCAGCGCAUGCAGGCAGGCGGCCAUUACACAGGCUUUCCAGAGAGAGCUGGAAAGCUGAUGCCCAAGCCACAGGAAGAGGGACGGCCGCCUGCAGCCAACAGCCUGCCUGGAAAGUCUGCGUAAGGGACACCUGGAGGAAGCAGGGGCUCCAUCGCCUCCUCCGCCGGCUGUAACCCUGUCCUUCUCGCUCAGCCCAUCCGUCGGGGGUGCUCCCGGCUUCCCACCCCAGAGAUGCCGCUCCUGGACGCGCUCCUGGACGCUCACCACAUCCCUCGAGUUGGAAAGCUCUCCGAUUUCUCCCAACAAAUCAGAACUUCUUUUCUUUCAUCUCGUUUGAAAAGCCUUUUGUGAGAUUGCUAGUGACCCAAAUGUAACCUCUCUAUUCCUGUCUGAAGGGAAAAUAUUUCCAGAUUAGAGGGAGCGUUCUGCGGUGCCAAGACCAGGCAUAUAUGAAUACUUGAUUAUGCCUCCGAAACCCGGCCUCCCAAACACGCGCCAGUCACAGUGUCAGAAACGAACCGUAAGCAAGCAAAGAAACUGUGAAUCAAGGGGUUUAUUAUUUUCCCCUAUUAAGUAUUUUGAAACCAAAGUUUCCACAUUUUUAAGGGUUUGAUGUCAUAAAAUUCCCAUGUAUGACAGCAUUUUGAAAAACAGAGUCAUUGUGUGCGGGUGGAAUGUGAGAGGUUUAGUGUACAAGUUAGAAAAUAAAUCCCUAAGCUCGCAAUUUGAGAUGCAUAGACAGGGGGCCACUGAGCUGUAGCCUUUGCUACAAUGGCUUCACGUGAUGUUGAGACUGUCCCGGAAAAAUUCUUCGUCUUCUGAGGAGCCCCAGGACCUCCAGCCAGCUGUUGUUACUCCAAGUGCAAUGGUGAGCGUCAGAGCCCCGCGCGGCCUGGAAGGAGAUGUGAGCAGAGGAAGGUGAAGUUGCCUGAGAAAAUGUCUUUCCUGGAAGAAUACUGGUGCUGUUCUCUGUCCGCCUGACAUGACGUCCAUGUCAAAUAUGGAGGACGAAUUUGUUGGCAGACCUUGGGGAUGAAAUGGGCUAGACUUCUAAGAAUAAAUGUACCUGGCCUCUCUAUUAACCAUUUCCAUA
Equus caballus (horse) is the source of this 3771-nucleotide non-coding RNA. NCBI's taxonomy places the organism in Eukaryota, Metazoa, Chordata, Mammalia, Perissodactyla, Equidae. The record is from RefSeq and is a predicted model, not a curated record.